This 253-nucleotide ribosomal RNA is filed under the name uncultured bacterium. Its description in RNAcentral is "partial 16S ribosomal RNA". It matches the Rfam family "Bacterial small subunit ribosomal RNA", at positions 524 to 776 of the family's 1533-position model. The record is from RNAcentral.
UACGUAGGGGGCAAGCGUUGUCCGGAAUCAUUGGGCGUAAAGAGCGUGUAGGCGGCCCGAUAAGUCCGCUGUGAAAGUCCAGGGCUCAACCCUGGAAUGCCGGUGGAUACUGUCGGGCUCGAAUCCGGAAGAGGUGAGUGGAAUUCCUGGUGUAGCGGUGAAAUGCGCAGAUAUCUGGAGGAACACCGGUGGCGAAAGCGGCUCACUGGACCUGAUCUGACACUGAGGUGCGAAAGCUAGGGUAGCAAACGGG